This 633-nucleotide ribosomal RNA is filed under the name uncultured bacterium. RNAcentral's name for it is "bacterial SSU rRNA". It matches the Rfam family "Bacterial small subunit ribosomal RNA", at positions 28 to 674 of the family's 1533-position model. The record is from RNAcentral.
AAUCAACGCUGGCGGCGCGCUUAACACAUGCAAGUCGAACGCGAAAGCCUGACUUCGGUUGGGCAAGUAGAGUGGCAAACGGGUGAGUAACACGUGGAUAACCUACCCUCGAGUGGGGAAUAACCCCGGGAAACUGGGGCUAAUACCGCAUACGAUCCAUCGGACUAAGUCCGGUGGCUGAAAGCCUUCGGGCGCUGGAGGAGGGGUCCGCGGCCGAUUAGCUAGUUGGCGGGGUAAAAGCCCACCAAGGCACAGAUCGGUAGCCGGCCUGAGAGGGCGCACGGCCACACUGGCACUGAGACACGGGCCAGACUCCUACGGGAGGCAGCAGUGGGGAAUCUUGGACAAUGGGCGAAAGCCUGAUCCAGCGACGCCGCGUGACUGAUGAAGCCUUUCGGGGUGUAAAAGUCUUUCGGCAGGGACAAUAAUGAUGGUACCUGCAGAAGCAGCUGCGGCUAACUACGUGCCAGCAGCCGCGGUAAUACGUAGGCAGCUAGCGUUGUUCGGAAUUACUGGGCGUAAAGCGAGUGUAGGCGGUUUGCCAAGUCCGUUGUGAAAUCUCCCGGCUCAACUGGGAGGGUGCGGCGGAAACUGGCAGGCUAGAGUGCGGAAUGGGAGAGUGGAAUUCCUGGU